GCUCAUGAUGGAUGGGUCAGUCAGUAGAACAUGAGACUCUUAAUCUCAGGGUCAUGGGUUCAAGCACUACGUUGGGCA
Podarcis lilfordi (Lilford's wall lizard) is the source of this 78-nucleotide non-coding RNA. The record is from the annotation of a GenBank genome assembly. NCBI's taxonomy places the organism in Eukaryota, Metazoa, Chordata, Lepidosauria, Squamata, Lacertidae.